This 102-nucleotide ribosomal RNA is filed under the name Sus scrofa (pig). The record is from RNAcentral. Lineage: Eukaryota; Metazoa; Chordata; Mammalia; Artiodactyla; Suidae.
GUCUCUGGCUGCACCGCCCUGAACGCCCCGAUCUCAUCUGGUCUCUGAAGCUAAGCAGGAUCGGGUCGCCGUUUUUUAGCCCUUGGAUGGGAGUUGGAAUCU